RNAcentral lists this ribosomal RNA (203 nucleotides) under uncultured bacterium. RNAcentral describes it as "partial 16S ribosomal RNA". It matches the Rfam family "Bacterial small subunit ribosomal RNA", at positions 524 to 709 of the family's 1533-position model. The record is from RNAcentral.
UACAGAGGUCCCAAGCGUUGUUCGGAUUCAUUGGGCGUAAAGGGGUGCGUAGGCGGUGAAGUAAGUUUGGAUGUGAAAAUCCCCGGGGGCUCAACCCCCCGGAAACUGCACUCAAAUACUGCUUUUGCUUAGAGGACUGGAGAGGAGAUUUGGAAAUUUCACGGGUGUAGCAGUGAAAAAUGCGUAGAUAUCGUGAGGGAAAG